GGGGAAUAUUGGACAAUGGGCGCAAGCCUGAUCCAGCAAUGCCGCGUGCAGGAUGAAGGCCUUCGGGUUGUAAACUGCUUUUGUACAGAACGAAACGCCUCCCUCCAAUACAGGGGGGUGAUGACGGUACCGUAAGAAGAAGCACCGGCUAACUACGUGCCAGCAGCCGCGGUAAUACGUAGGGUGCAAGCGUUAAUCGGAAUUACUGGGCGUAAAGCGUGCGCAGGCGGUUUUGUAAGACAGUGGUGAAAUCCCCGGGCUCAACCUGGGAACUGCCAUUGUGACUGCAAGGCUGGAGUGCGGCAGAGCGGGAUGGAAUUCCGCGUGUAGCAGUGAAAUGCGUAGAUAUGCGGAGGAACACCGAUGGCGAAGGCAACCCCCUGGGUCGAUACUGACGCUCAUGCACGAAAGCGUGGGGAGCAAACA
Molecule: ribosomal RNA, 426 nt
Filed under: uncultured Comamonadaceae bacterium
Lineage: Bacteria; Pseudomonadati; Pseudomonadota; Betaproteobacteria; Burkholderiales; Comamonadaceae
Description: bacterial SSU rRNA
Rfam family: Bacterial small subunit ribosomal RNA
Source: RNAcentral